This 426-nucleotide long non-coding RNA is filed under the name Nicotiana benthamiana. RNAcentral describes it as "long non-coding RNA (NBEN_LNC020532)". Lineage: Eukaryota; Viridiplantae; Streptophyta; Magnoliopsida; Solanales; Solanaceae. The record is from RNAcentral.
UGCACUUUUACUAACUUCAUAUAACGUAAGUACUUCCCCCUUGUGUGAGCCUUGCCUUGGGACCCAUGAGCUCCCUCUGAACUUGGACAUAUAAAGGCUGGCAUUUCCACACUACACUCAUCUCUAUUCUAGUUAUGUAACUUAGGUGUAAGUACUGCUCGGGGUCCUCUUGAGACACAUUGGGAACUUUGACACAUUCAAGUUUGAGAAAGGCUUUGGAUCAACGGCAUUUGAGGUGGUUUAUUUAUAACUCAUAGAGAAAGUCAAGAAUCAGGCUUCCACUAGUUGUAACUUUUCUUUGUACUUUUCUGGUAUAAUUUAGAACUACUGGUAUGUAAUAAUUUUUAAUAAAUGCUUGUGGUUGGCUAGUGAAAAGGGUUUGCUCAAGGGUAGAAAGCAUACCUAUAGACUAUUUUUAAAUUCUGC